UCCGAGGUCACCGUGCCUGUGUCUGUGUGUGUGUGCUGUGUGGGGACACCUGUGUCUGCACCUUUCCACCUUCCAGGUCGUGGAGCUGCUCGGCGUCCAGAAGAUCGAGGUGUAUCCAGUAGAACUGCUGCUUGUCCGGCACAGUGAUAUGGACACACCUUACACGGCUCAAUUCAGCCAUACAGAUUCCGUUGGUGAGUCUGAGGGCUGCGGCGUGAGUGGGCGUGCCCACAGGUCAGGGAUCUAAGAAUGCAUGGGGUUUGGCUGUGACAGACUGAGAAGGCAUUGGUCAGACUUCGGAGGACCAAGAAGGUAUCCGUCAAGUUGGGCACAGGCCCUGAGCGAGUGCCCUGGAGUCCUCAGGGUAUGCGAGCCGCGUCCCAGUGACUUAGAUGGUACGCCAGACGAUACUGGCUGGGGGUCUCAAGUCCUGAGUGUGGAUCGGUCAUUUGGAGACCCCCUCGAGGACACAAGGUAUUGACCGAGUGUGCAGGGUCUGUGAGGAGGAGUCAGGGUGUGAUGCUGAGAUGGGUUAUUCGGGGUUCCAGGAAGACCUCGAACGUGCUCCAUUACCCUCCACAGACCUAGUUUUGCGCACCGCCCGAGA
This 607-nucleotide long non-coding RNA is filed under the name Lynx pardinus (Iberian lynx). Lineage: Eukaryota; Metazoa; Chordata; Mammalia; Carnivora; Felidae. The record is from RNAcentral.